This 29-nucleotide ribosomal RNA is filed under the name Rhodofomes roseus. RNAcentral's name for it is "Fomitopsis rosea partial 28S ribosomal RNA". The record is from RNAcentral. Lineage: Eukaryota; Fungi; Basidiomycota; Agaricomycetes; Polyporales; Fomitopsidaceae.
GGUUACCCGCUGAACUUAAGCAUAUCAAU